Molecule: long non-coding RNA, 873 nt
Filed under: Gossypium raimondii (Peruvian cotton)
Lineage: Eukaryota; Viridiplantae; Streptophyta; Magnoliopsida; Malvales; Malvaceae
Description: long non-coding RNA (GRAI_LNC007937)
Source: RNAcentral
UCUUUCUUUUUUCUUUUUUUUUAAUAUGUCCUUACUUCUCUCUCUCUCUUCAUUUUUUCUCUUUUUCUUUUCUUUUUCUUUUUCCUUUUCAUCUUUUUCUUCUUUCACAUUUUUUGUUAUUUUUCUUUUCUUCCCUCCUCUCUUCUUCCCAACUCUAGUCGUCACAUUUUCCUCUCUCGUUGACAAAUCUACAAAACCAAAAAAGCAUCAAAAUUAAAGAGCGAAGAAAGAUAAAGAAAAAGAGUGAGAAGGAUCCUUCAAGUUUGGCCAAUGAGUAAUUGGAGAGAUUUGGAAUAUUCGUUAGAGAUUCCGAACGGUUGAGGCCUUCAUCGGGACAAUGAAGCAACAAUCUAAGGACAAAUAUGAGAAAUCAAGUUGUAAUACUGAAAGAUUUAGGCUUUAAUUUCCUAAAACCUUGAGAAAGAAUUCCCAAAAUCAAACCAAUAAAAAGAAGGGAGGGAGGGAGGGAGAACAAAUUCCAGUGUCUUUUUUUGACCAAUCAAAGAAGGUUAGUAGCGGUGGAGGAACGCGCGACAACUAGGCUACAAGGAAGAAGUGUUGGGGAAGCAUGUAAGGUGUGCAUGAUAGAAUUUUAAAAUUUGUAAUACAUCCAGGAUCAACUAAGAUAGUUAGAAGACAUAGUUAGAACAAUAAAUUGUUAAUAAUCUAGUUUUUAGAUGUAUUUUGAUUCAUUUUCGCAAGUUGAAGAAGUUGUUUUGCAAUUAAUUGUGAUUUGCUCGGAGGAAAUUGCACUCUUUUACGAAAACAUCCCUAUUUGGUUCGGUUCGAGUUAAGCUUAAGCAUGAUAUUAACACACUUAUGUUUGCCUAAACCCGACUUAACUCGAAAUAUAAGCCUAAAUUUUGCCCAAGC